This 111-nucleotide non-coding RNA is filed under the name Bacillus sp. (in: firmicutes). RNAcentral's name for it is "Bacillus sp. SAM-I sequence". It matches the Rfam family "SAM riboswitch aptamer (S box leader)". From Rfam's summary of the family: The SAM riboswitch is found upstream of a number of genes which code for proteins involved in methionine or cysteine biosynthesis in Gram-positive bacteria. The SAM riboswitch acts at the level of transcription termination control. The predicted structure consists of a complex stem-loop region followed by a single stem loop terminator region. Lineage: Bacteria; Bacillati; Bacillota; Bacilli; Caryophanales; Bacillaceae. The record is from RNAcentral.
CUCUUAUCAAGAGAGGUGGAGGGAUGUGCCCAAUGAAGCCCGGCAACCGUCAAUUCUUUGAAUUGAAAUGGUGCCAAUUCACACAAAGCAUUUUGCUUUGAGAGAUGGGAG